GAGUAAACAGAACAGGAUACUGGGAGAAAGACGCAGAGUCACACAGAGGCAGAGAACUGCCCGCCAUGAAGCUGCCAGGUCAGACACGCUGAAUCCUCCCGUCCCUCCCGCCACAUCACCAGGAAGCUGAGGGGUGAAACAGUGCAUGCCGCCGGGCUCUUUUCUGCUCAGACGGAAAGAUGAAGACCUGGAAUAUGGGCAGCUGUCGUGAAGGCUGGGAACGAGCGUUCCCGUGAGCUUCUUUUCCCACACCAGGUCUGCAGUCCACGUUUACAGGAGGCUGGCAAGGGCGGCUGCGUGUCUGGGCAGCUCUUAACGCCCUCAUGGCAAAAGUCCUGGAGAGGCAGAACUCGCCUCCCUCGGGCAGUACACAAGAGUUGGCUUAAAACACCGUAGAACACAGGCAAUAAAAGUGGCUGAAGUCAGGAGCUCGCCUUCUCCUCAGCCCUGACACCUCUAACUGGAAGCUGUCAAGAUGCUGAGUGUUUGCCCAGCCACUCUCCAGCAUCCUGCUUGGCCUUUCAGCAGCAGCCUACCGUGGCACACGAAGCAGAUGCCAAAGAUGCCCCCCAACACUUUAUUUAUUUGUCUAAAUAAAUCUUAGAGCCUUGUUUCUGA
Long non-coding RNA from Myodes glareolus (Bank vole), 618 nucleotides. RefSeq lists it as uncharacterized. The record is from RefSeq and is a predicted model, not a curated record. Lineage: Eukaryota; Metazoa; Chordata; Mammalia; Rodentia; Cricetidae.